Molecule: unclassified non-coding RNA, 212 nt
Filed under: uncultured fungus
Lineage: Eukaryota; Fungi
Description: sequence contains ITS1
Source: RNAcentral
UUCAUUCAUUCUUCGCUUCCACUCAGAGGAGAUGCCGCCUCUCGGCGAAUGCAGGGUUUGGGUCCCCCGGCGGGCGCCUGGGUCCGGGCCUCGCCCCCCGGGGGGGGCCGGGGCGCCGGGGCGGUCCGCCGAAGCAACGGGAGGUAGGUUCACACGGGUUUGGGAGUUGGGAGAACUCGGUAAUGAUCCCUCCGCUGGUUCACCAACGGAGA